GGAGAGUUGGCUGAGUGGUCGAAGGCGCACGAUUGGAAAUCGUGUGUGCGGUAAUCCCGUACCCAGGGUUCAAAUCCCUGACUCUCCGCCA
RNAcentral lists this transfer RNA (91 nucleotides) under Butyricicoccus pullicaecorum. RNAcentral's name for it is "tRNA-Ser". It matches the Rfam family "tRNA". From Rfam's summary of the family: Transfer RNA (tRNA) molecules are approximately 80 nucleotides in length. Their secondary structure includes four short double-helical elements and three loops (D, anti-codon, and T loops). The record is from RNAcentral. RNAcentral also lists the same sequence under 4 other names. Lineage: Bacteria; Bacillati; Bacillota; Clostridia; Eubacteriales; Butyricicoccaceae.